UCAAUCCAUUCGGAAGCUGCAUUUUUAAUCUGCCGAGCCUAGAGUAUGUCAGAGGGGGGGUAGAAUUGCACGUGUAGCAGUGAAAUGCGUAGAUAUGUUGGAGGAAUACCGAUGGCGAAGGCAGCCCCCCCUGGGAUAAUACUGACGCUCAGACACGAAAGCGUGGGGAGCAAACAGGAUUAGAUACCCUGGUAGUCCACGCCCUAAACGAUGUCAACUAGCUGUUGGGGCCGUUAGGCCUUAGUAGCGCAGCUAACGCGUGAAGUUGACCGCCUGGGGAGUACGGUCGCAAGAUUAAAACUCAAAGGAAUUGACGGGGACCCGCA
RNAcentral lists this ribosomal RNA (326 nucleotides) under Alcaligenes faecalis. Its description in RNAcentral is "partial 16S ribosomal RNA". It matches the Rfam family "Bacterial small subunit ribosomal RNA", at positions 604 to 925 of the family's 1533-position model. Lineage: Bacteria; Pseudomonadati; Pseudomonadota; Betaproteobacteria; Burkholderiales; Alcaligenaceae. The record is from RNAcentral.